UGGGGAAUAUUGGACAAUGGGCGAAAGCCUGAUCCAGCCAUGCCGCGUGAGUGACGAAGGCCUUAGGGUUGUAAAACUCUUUCGUCGGGGACGAUAAUGACGGUACCCGAAGAAGAAGCUCCGGCUAACUUCGUGCCAGCAGCCGCGGUAAUACGAAGGGAGCUAGCGUUGUUCGGAAUCACUGGGCGUAAAGCGCACGUAGGCGGAUUUGUCAGUCAGGGGUGAAAUCCCGGGGCUCAACCUCGGAACCGCCCUUGAUACAGCAAGUCUUGAGUUCGAGAGAGGUGGGUGGAAUUCCUAGUGUAGAGGUGAAAUUCGUAGAUAUUAGGAAGAACACCGGUGGCGAAGGCGGCCCACUGGCUCGAUACUGACGCUGAGGUGCGAAAGCGUGGGGAGCAAACAGGAUUAGAUACCCGAGUAGUCCCUGAGCGGGCUGGCAAGGCGCAU
This 447-nucleotide ribosomal RNA is filed under the name uncultured bacterium. RNAcentral describes it as "bacterial SSU rRNA". It matches the Rfam family "Bacterial small subunit ribosomal RNA", at positions 355 to 825 of the family's 1533-position model. The record is from RNAcentral.